CCUACGGGUGGCUGCAGUGGGGAAUUUUGGACAAUGGGCGCAAGCCUGAUCCAGCCAUGCCGCGUGAGUGAAGAAGGCCUUCGGGUUGUAAAGCUCUUUCGUAAGGGAAGAAAACUUAUCCUCUAACAUAGGAAGAGGUUGACGGUACCUUGAUAAGAAGCACCGGCUAACUACGUGCCAGCAGCCGCGGUAAUACGUAGGGUGCGAGCGUGAAUCGGAAUUACGGGGCGUAAAGCGUGAGUCGGAUGUGAAAGCCCCGGGCUCAACUUGGGAACUGCGUUUGAAACUACAAGACUAGAGUAGGUCAGAGGGGGGUAGAAUUCCACGUGUAGCAGUGAAAUGCGUAGAGAUGUGGAGGAAUAUCAAUGGCGAAGGCAGCCCCCUGGGAUCAUAUUGACGCUCAUGCACGAAAGCGUGGGGAGCAAACAGGAUUAGAUACCCGGGUAGUC
RNAcentral lists this ribosomal RNA (449 nucleotides) under uncultured bacterium. Its description in RNAcentral is "partial 16S ribosomal RNA". It matches the Rfam family "Bacterial small subunit ribosomal RNA", at positions 338 to 795 of the family's 1533-position model. The record is from RNAcentral.